GAUCUCCCCUCCCUAAGGAAACUGGACCAUAAGAAUUGCGACAGCGCAUCAGACCAGCGGUCCAUCCAGUCCAGUGUCCUGGCUCUGGCAGUGGCCAGGAUCAGAUGUUCCAGAGAGGAAGGUAACAUAACAGUAAACAUACACUGCUAAGGCCGUAAUAAGCCAGUUGCUGCCUUGAUUCUACCCUCCACUCACAUUUGUGGAGUUCGACUUUGGAAAACGUCAACAGAUUUGUGUUGAACCCUCAUGGAAUAAACUUCUGGGUUUCCUUACUUCGGAAAAGAAAGCAAACUGCUCCAGUUGCUUUGUUGCCUCACUGGCUUAGUCCAUCUUUUAAAAGAAAAUAAUUUCAUCAGGGCUUGUCACCAAAAUGGACCGUUCCCUUCCUUUGCAGCUCAACGGGGUGAUGGCUAAGCAGUGGAAUUUAAAAAGAAUGAGAAGAAAAAAGGAACAGCCCCCGC
Molecule: long non-coding RNA, 461 nt
Organism: Dermochelys coriacea (leatherback sea turtle)
Lineage: Eukaryota; Metazoa; Chordata; Testudines; Dermochelyidae
Exons: 3
Source: RefSeq, a predicted model, not a curated record